Molecule: ribosomal RNA, 838 nt
Filed under: uncultured bacterium
Lineage: Bacteria
Description: bacterial SSU rRNA
Rfam family: Bacterial small subunit ribosomal RNA
Source: RNAcentral
UCGAGCGAGUCUGCCUUGAAGAUCGGAGUGCUUGCACUCUGUGAAACAAGAUACAGGCUAGCGGCGGACGGGUGAGUAACACGUGGGUAACCUGCCCAAGAGAUCGGGAUAACACCUGGAAACAGAUGCUAAUACCGGAUAACAACAGAUGAUGCCUAUCAACUGUUUAAAAGAUGGUUCUGCUAUCACUCUUGGAUGGACCUGCGGUGCACUAGCUAGUUGGUAGGGUAACGGCCUACCAAGGCGAUGAUGCAUAGCCGAGUUGAGAGACUGAUCGGCCACAUUGGGACUGAGACACGGCCCAAACUCCUACGGGAGGCAGCAGUAGGGAAUCUUCCACAAUGGACGCAAGUCUGAUGGAGCAACGCCGCGUGAGUGAAGAAGGGCUUCGGCUCGUAAAGCUCUGUUGUUGGUGAAGAAGGACAGGGGUAGUAACUGACCUUUGUUUGACGGUAAUCAAUUAGAAAGUCACGGCUAACUACGUGCCAGCAGCCGCGGUAAUACGUAGGUGGCAAGCGUUGUCCGGAUUUAUUGGGCGUAAAGCGAGUGCAGGCGGCUCGAUAAGUCUGAUGUGAAAGCCUUCGGCUCAACCGGAGAAUUGCAUCAGAAACUGUCGAGCUUGAGUACAGAAGAGGAGAGUGGAACUCCAUGUGUAGCGGUGAAAUGCGUAGAUAUACGGAAGAACACCGGUGGCGAAGGCGGCUCUCUGGUCUGUUACUGACGCUGAGGCUCGAAAGCAUGGGUAGCGAACAGGAUUAGAUACCCUGGUAGUCCAUGCCGUANACGAUGAGUGCUAAGUGUUGGGAGGUUUCCGCCUCUCAGUGCUGCAGCUAACGCA